RNAcentral lists this ribosomal RNA (255 nucleotides) under uncultured bacterium. Its description in RNAcentral is "partial 16S ribosomal RNA". It matches the Rfam family "Bacterial small subunit ribosomal RNA", at positions 524 to 776 of the family's 1533-position model. The record is from RNAcentral.
UACGGGGGGGGGCGAGCGUUGUUCGGAAUUACUGGGCGUAAAGGGCGCGUAGGCGGUCGUGACAAGUCAUCUGUGAAAUCUCCGGGCUUAACUCGGAACGGUCAGAUGAUACUGCUUUGCUAGAGUGCGGAAGGGGCAAUCGGAAUUCUCGGUGUAGCGGUGAAAUGCGUAGAUAUCGAGAGGAACACCAGAGGUGAAGACGGGUUGCUGGGCCGACACUGACGCUGAGGCGCGAAAGUCAGGGGAGCAAACGGG